GAGGCGUUCAUGUGCGGUUUGUUGAUGGUGCGAAUUCUCUUUGACUAGGGAUCCAAAGAGGGUGCUAGACCCUUACGCAUUGUUGACUUUUCGUACGCGUUCGUUUCUUGGAGUAGGGUUGUUUUGGAUCGCAGCCCAAAGUAGGUGGUAUACUUCAUCUAAAGCUAAAUACGACUACGAAUCCGAUAGCAAACAAGUACCGUGAGGGAAAGUUGCAAAGUACUUUGAAGAGAGAGUUCAAGAGGACGUGAAACCGGUAGGGUGGAAGCAGAUAAAGUUGACGAACGUGUGUCGUAUUCAGAACUACAAUUUGUGGUUUGUUUUUACGAUCGAUGUGGGCUGGCGUCUUUGGUUAACUUAGUGUCUGGCGGCAAUGGUGACCCUGCGGAGGGAUAAUCGGUUGUCGUGCGAUGCUUGGUAUGGCUAGAGGUUCGCUGGUCUUAUAGUCAUCGCUUUAUCUGACCCGUCUUGAAACACGGACCAAGGAGUGUAGCGCUUACGCGAGUCUUAGAGUGUGUCAAAACUUUGAGGCGUAACGAAAGUAAAUGUGGAUUUAUUCACUGACUUGGGAUGCGUUGUCUUUUUUGGAUAGCGUGGACCAUGGUUUUAUCGUAAUCGCUUGCGAUGCGGUGAAAAUAGAGCGUAAGCGGUGCGACCCGAAAGAUGGUGAACUAUGCCUGAGCAGGAUGAAG
RNAcentral lists this ribosomal RNA (692 nucleotides) under Steinernema sp. eLBI15.3_TH. RNAcentral describes it as "partial large subunit ribosomal RNA". It matches the Rfam family "Eukaryotic large subunit ribosomal RNA", at positions 159 to 851 of the family's 3401-position model. Lineage: Eukaryota; Metazoa; Nematoda; Chromadorea; Rhabditida; Steinernematidae. The record is from RNAcentral.